CCCUUAGAUGUCCUGGGCCGCACGCGCGUUACACUGAUGCAUUCAACGAGCUUAUAACCUUGGCCGAGAGGCCUGGGCAAUCUUGUUAACGUGCAUCGUGAUAGGGAUAGAUUAUUGAAAUUAUUAAUCUUGAACGAGGAAUUCCUAGUAAACGCAGAUCAUCAAUCUGCAUUGAAUACGUCCCUGCCCUUUGUACACACCGCCCGUCGCACCUACCGAUUGGAUGGUCCGGUGAAGCCUCGGGAUUGUGGUUCUUGCCGCUUUAUUGUGGCGUGACCGCGAGAACUUGUCUAAACCUUAUCAUCUAGAGGAAGGUGAAGUCGUAACA
RNAcentral lists this ribosomal RNA (328 nucleotides) under uncultured eukaryote. RNAcentral describes it as "partial 18S ribosomal RNA". It matches the Rfam family "Eukaryotic small subunit ribosomal RNA", at positions 1470 to 1796 of the family's 1831-position model. The record is from RNAcentral.